UACGGAGGGUGCAAGCGUUGUCCGGAUUUAUUGGGUUUAAAGGGUGCGUAGGCGGCCCGUUAAGUCAGCGGUGAAAUCCCGGGGCUCAACCCCGGAACUGCCGUUGAUACUGGCGGGCUUGAGUUCGGUCGAGGCGGGCGGAACUGGCGGUGUAGCGGUGAAAUGCUUAGAUACCGCCAAGAACCCCGAUUGCGUAGGCAGUUCGCUUGGCCGAAACUGACGCUGAGGCACGAAAGCGUGGGGAGCGAACAGG
This 253-nucleotide ribosomal RNA is filed under the name uncultured bacterium. RNAcentral's name for it is "partial 16S ribosomal RNA". It matches the Rfam family "Bacterial small subunit ribosomal RNA", at positions 524 to 776 of the family's 1533-position model. The record is from RNAcentral.